RNAcentral lists this long non-coding RNA (927 nucleotides) under Anser cygnoides (Swan goose). RNAcentral's name for it is "lncRNA (ENSACDG00005009942.1)". Lineage: Eukaryota; Metazoa; Chordata; Aves; Anseriformes; Anatidae. The record is from RNAcentral.
CUAAACUAAGGAACAGAGUUUACUUUUAAGGGGGGAUUUGUGAGUUUAUGCAACUUUACACAAGUGUGUACAUAAUAUAUAUGUAUUAUAUUAUAUAUAUAUUAUAUAUAAAAGAGUGUCAGUGUUUUGGCCAGAUGGAAAGAAUAAUGCCUUGGAAGAUUAGCUCCUGAUAAGAAAGUCAGUAGAGACUCAUUUGCUUUCUUUGAGAUCACAAUGUGUUACUCUGCAUUAAGUCAGUCUUUCAAAACUAGCCCGCAGAUACAAGUCUAGGUAGUUUAUUAAUAGAUCUGUUUGAAAAAAUGCUGAUUCAGUAUCAUCAAAACAUUCUGUGGGAACAAGUUCAUUUUUCUUAGUUACUCUUGACAGAAACUAGGCAGGUUUCCAUGGAAACUUGCCUACUUCACCACCAAUUUGCCUGUCUGGAGCCAGAUUUCCAGCCAUGGGAUGAGUCUAAGCUGCUUGGCUCCUAGGGCUGUCAGGGUUCAGAGAACUUGAGGAAAGUCAUCUUGAGUUUGUUUUGAAGAGCGAAAGCAAAAAUAUUGCUUCAAUUUCUGUAAACAACAUUUAAGGAUUCUUGUCAGAAGAGAUGUUGAAGUCUUUUUCCAGUGUGCAAACAUUUUUCCCCCUCUCAGAUUUUCACUCAGAAGAGGAAGUUUGUGCUAUGACCACUAGUUUCUUGAAAAGCUGCCAUGUAUCAUACUUCAGUGCAAGGUACUACAUGAGUAUAAGAAACAGUCAUGUUGAAGAAGAAACUGUCAGUAUGAAGAUGAAACAGUCUUCUUCUGGAGAAUUUAGUGAUCUAGUACAGACUUGAAAAAUGAUUCAGUGAAAAAACUUACUGACUUCACCAUAUGUUUGCAGAAUUACUAAACAAGCAUCACAGACAGCAAAAAUAAAUAAAUAAAUAAACAUACCUAUUUUUGAGAG